AACGCGAAGAACCUUACCUGGGCUCGAACGGCUAUGGACAAUCUUUGGAAACAGGGACUUCUCGCAAGAGACUGUAGUCGAGGUGCUGCAUGGCUGUCGUCAGCUCGUGUCGUGAGAUGUUGGGUUAAGUCCCGCAACGAGCGCAACCCUUGUCCUGUGUUGCCAUCAUUAAGUUGGGCACUCUCAGGAGACCGCCAGCGAUAAGCUGGAGGAAGGUGGGGAUGAUGUCAAGUCAUCAUGGCCUUUAUGUCCAGGGCUACACACGUGCUACAAUGGCCGGUACAAAGCGCUGCAAACUCGCAAGAGGGAGCUAAUCGCAAAAAACCGGUCUCAGUUCGGAUCGCAGGCUGCAACUCGCCUGCGUGAAGCUGGAAUCGCUAGUAAUCGGGGAUCAGCCACGCCCCGGUGAAUAUGUUCCUGAGCCUUGUACACACCGCUAGUC
This 442-nucleotide ribosomal RNA is filed under the name uncultured bacterium. Its description in RNAcentral is "bacterial SSU rRNA". It matches the Rfam family "Bacterial small subunit ribosomal RNA", at positions 958 to 1398 of the family's 1533-position model. The record is from RNAcentral.